GACGAACGCUGGCGGCGUGCUUAACACAUGCAAGUCGAACGGAAAGGCCCUGCUUUUGUGGGGUGCUCGAGUGGCGAACGGGUGAGUAACACGUGAGUCACCUGCCCUUGACUUUGGGAUAACUUCAGGAAACUGGGGCUAAUACCGGAUAGGAGCUCCUGCUGCAUGGUGGGGGUUGGAAAGUUUCGGCGGUUGGGGAUGGACUCGCGGCUUAUCAGCUGGUUGGUGGGGUAGGGGCUUACCAAGGCUUUGACGGGUAGCCGGCCUGAGAGGGUGACCGGCCACAUUGGGACUGAGAUACGGCCCAGACUCCUACGGGAGGCAGCAGUGGGGAAUAUUGCACAAUGGGCGGAAGCCUGAUGCAGCAACGCCGCGUGCGGGGUGACGGCCUUCGGGUUGUAAACCGCUUUCGCCUGUGACGAAGCGUGAGUGACGGUAAUGGGUAAAGAAGCACCGGCUAACUACGCG
RNAcentral lists this ribosomal RNA (468 nucleotides) under uncultured bacterium. Its description in RNAcentral is "partial 16S ribosomal RNA". It matches the Rfam family "Bacterial small subunit ribosomal RNA", at positions 28 to 507 of the family's 1533-position model. The record is from RNAcentral.